Molecule: non-coding RNA, 67 nt
Organism: Potamilus streckersoni
Lineage: Eukaryota; Metazoa; Mollusca; Bivalvia; Unionida; Unionidae
Source: the annotation of a GenBank genome assembly
GUGGCUUAGAGGUCAGAGUCUCCGCUUUAGAUGCAGGAAGCAGCAGGUUCAAACCCUGGCCAAUUCA